GACGAACGCUGGCGGCGUGCUUAACACAUGCAAGUCGAACGGAAAGGCCUGCUUUCCCUUGUGGAUUGCGGGUACUCGGGUGGCGAACGGGUGAGUAACACGUGAGUGAUCUGCCCCCAACUUGGGUAUAAGCCUGGGAAACUGGGUCUAAUUCCCGAUAGGACUGCAGGGUGGUGCCUGUGGUGGAAAACGAUUUUCUAGUGGUUGGGGAUGAGCUCGCGGCCUAUCAGCUUGUUGGUGGGGUAAUGGCCUACCAAGGCGGCGACGGGUAGCCGGCCUGGGAGGGUGGACGGCCACAUUGGGACUGAGAUACGGCCCAUACUCCUACGGGAGGCAGCAGUGGGGAAUAUUGCACGAUGAGCGGAAGCCUGAUGCAGCGACGCAGCGUGGGGGAUGACGGCCUUCGGGUUGUAAACUCCUUUCGACCGCGAGGAAGCCACCUGGUUGGAAGGGUGGUGACGGUAGUGGUAGAAGAAGCACCGGCUAACUACGUG
Molecule: ribosomal RNA, 494 nt
Filed under: uncultured bacterium
Lineage: Bacteria
Description: partial 16S ribosomal RNA
Rfam family: Bacterial small subunit ribosomal RNA
Source: RNAcentral